UUGUGAGGGGCGGAGUUCCAUCAGCCCUGCGCUGGAGGCGGAGGCAGCUCGCCUACCUUUCUUGUCCACCUGGGAGAGCGGAGGACACCGAGGCUUUCUAUCAAAGAGCAAGCAUUCUCACUGAACAUCAGGAAAAAGGGGAAGUCGAAACCGAGUGGCAAAACAUCUAGACACAGUAAAAAUAUCUGUGGAUGAUUAUUGGAGACAGCUGGGGCAGGGUUCAUGGCGGGGGAAUCAUAGUAAAACAGCCAAUUGAAUGAAGGGUUACAAUUUCAAAAAGAAACCCGGCAUAGUGGCAAAUGUUUGCAAACCCGGAACUGAAGAAGCAGAAGCAGAAGGAUUGUGGUGAAUCGGAGGAUUGACUAGACAGUGAGAUCCAGGCCAGCCUAAGCAAUACAAUGAGGUCCUCCCUCAAAAAACAAAAUAAAUAUAAAAAGUAAACAUAAAUUCAGCGGGAAAAACAAAGGUAAAGACAAAUUAAUGGAUUCAGAGAAUUAAUACCUUUUGAAGUAAUAAAUCCAAUGUGAGAGUUAGUUACAUUUUGAGUUUCAAUUACUAUGCCUAAGAGAUCCAUGAAACAAAAAUGUGUCUGAUCUUGCAAGCCCCUUGCCCAAGGACAGAUAGUUCCUGAAAUGAUGGAAACUGGUGUUUGUUUGAUCUUACACUUCUGUGUUUGAUCACAGAAGGCUCACAGUCAGGAAAUACGUCAGGAUGAAUGAUUGGAUCUGAUGGAAAUACUUACUCCCCAGCAAACCAAGGCCCUGGGCAUUUUUUCUGGGAAACCAGAGAUGGAACUGGCCAGAGAGUCCGUCCUCCCUUCAAAUUUGACUUUAAACUGUGGUAGUGGUCUUCUUCUUGGCUGAUGGAAGUAACAUCAGGAACUCAGAAAACACGUAAGAAACCAGUCAAUCAGAAAUAAAGGGGGCCCAGUGGAGGCAGGAGGAUCAGGAGUUCAAGGUCAUCCUCACCUACACAGCAAGUCUGAGGCCAGCCUGGACUAUGCCAGAACCUGCUUUAAAACAGUAAUAAAAACUCUAUUUAUGGACUGGCAGUAGUGGCACACAUCUUUAAUCCCAGCACUUGGGAGGCAGAGGUAGGUGGCUGUCUGUGAGUUAGAGGUCAGUCCGUUCUACACAUCAAGCUCCAGGACAGCCAAAGCUACACAGAGAAACCUUGUCUCAAAAAAUAAAUAAAUAAAUAAAUAAAUAAAA
Molecule: long non-coding RNA, 1211 nt
Filed under: Cricetulus griseus (Chinese hamster)
Lineage: Eukaryota; Metazoa; Chordata; Mammalia; Rodentia; Cricetidae
Description: lncRNA (ENSCGRG00015028963.1)
Source: RNAcentral